GAUGAACGCUAGCGAUAGGCCUAACACAUGCAAGUCGAGGGGCAUCACAUGAGGCAGCAAUGCCGAUGGUGGCGACCGGCGCACGGGUGAGUAACACGUAUGCAACCUGCCUUCAACAAGGGGAUAACCCGUUGAAAGACGGACUAAUACCCUAUAACACAGGGGUCCCGCAUGGGAAUAUUUGUUAAAGGACAACCGGUUGAAGAUGGGCAUGCGUUCCAUUAGCUAGUUGGCGGGGUAACGGCCCACCAAGGCAACGAUGGAUAGGGGAACUGAGAGGUUUAUCCCCCACACUGGUACUGAGACACGGACCAGACUCCUACGGGAGGCAGCAGUGAGGAAUAUUGGUCAAUGGACGGCAAGUCUGAACCAGCCACGUCGCGUGAAGGAAGACGGCCCUACGGGUUGUAAACUUCUUUUAUACGGGAAUAAAGUGCCCCACGUGUGGGGUUUUGGCAAGUACCGUAUGAAUAAGGAUCGGCUAAC
Molecule: ribosomal RNA, 486 nt
Filed under: uncultured bacterium
Lineage: Bacteria
Description: bacterial SSU rRNA
Rfam family: Bacterial small subunit ribosomal RNA
Source: RNAcentral